GCGCCCGUAGCUCAGCGGAUAGAGCACUAGUCUUCGGAACUAGGUGUCGGGGGUUCGAAUCCCUCCGGGCGUA
This 73-nucleotide transfer RNA is filed under the name Caldilineaceae bacterium. RNAcentral describes it as "tRNA-Arg". It matches the Rfam family "tRNA". Rfam says of the family: Transfer RNA (tRNA) molecules are approximately 80 nucleotides in length. Their secondary structure includes four short double-helical elements and three loops (D, anti-codon, and T loops). The record is from RNAcentral. Lineage: Bacteria; Bacillati; Chloroflexota; Caldilineae; Caldilineales; Caldilineaceae.